CCCUUAGAUGUUCUGGGCCGCACGCGCGCUACACUGAUGCAUUCAACGAGCCUAGCCUUGACCGAGAGGUCCGGGUAAUCUUUGAAACUGCAUCGUGAUGGGGCUAGAUUAUUGCAAUUAUUAAUCUUCAACGAGGAAUGCCUAGUAAGCGUGAUUCAUCAAAUCGCGUUGAUUACGUCCCUGCCCUUUGUACACACCGCCCGUCGCUCCUACCGAUUGAGUGUGUUGGUGAGGAGUUCGGAUUGGUUCUUAGUGGUGGUUCGCCACCACCUAGAGCUGAGAAGUUCUCCAAACCGCCCCACUUAGAGGAAGGAGAAGUCGUAACA
RNAcentral lists this ribosomal RNA (326 nucleotides) under uncultured eukaryote. Its description in RNAcentral is "partial 18S ribosomal RNA". It matches the Rfam family "Eukaryotic small subunit ribosomal RNA", at positions 1470 to 1796 of the family's 1831-position model. The record is from RNAcentral.